GUCAGGUCGGGGCACGAGGACGGAGUUCAGGUAGUUGGGCGACUGUUGGAAAAACUGGCCUCUCCUCGCUCCGCGCUUCGCCGCCGCCUCCCCGGGUCCUGCCGCUGCCGAGGUCGCGCAGAGGUGGACCCGCCCGCGUCCUGCCCUCGGUGAGCGCUCCGGGGCCGGCGGCGGUUCCGGCUCCUGCGGGAGCCCCGCGCCCUCAGCCUGUUGUGCGCAGAGUUGAGGCUCCGACUUGGGGCGAGUGGGCCCGGCGGGGCAGGGGCGAGGGCGGCGGGGCGGAGGAGAGGCAGGUCGGCGGGGGCCCGGGGGUUUCCUGCCCCCUUGCGUAAGUUUAGCGCGCCCCCCGUCCUGCGGUCCUGGGCGCCCGCUCCACCGGGCGCAGUAACUCGUGCGCUCCCCGCCUCUGUGCCGCCGGCCUGGAACCCCGGGAACCCUCCCGCCCCACAGCAGCCCAGGCGCGAGUGGGCGGGGUCACCGGGGGCCCGUGACUGGCAAGGUCAAACCCUGGAAGGCCCCGUCCCAGAAACGGGGCCCCUCACUCUGGCGCACCCCUCAGAGGAGAGGAGGACACCCAGAGGCACGGGGCGCCCCCAGCCCUGCCCUGCCUGGGGUUUGGGAGCCGUGAGGGGCGGAGCAGAGGGGUGGGGAGACUGAAUGAGCUUCCCGAAGCAUGUUAAUCGGUGGCGGGGACAGGGCUGGGUGAAGGGUUGUGGGGAGAGGAAGUCAAAACAGCUGAUUAUGACGGAAACGGCUCUGUGUCCCCGCUUCUGCCCGGCCGCCUCCCUGCAGCCUGGGGUUCAGGUUGGUCGCCCAGCUGGCCAUCAGCAUGCAGGGGGUGCAGGGACCCGGUGAGACUGGGAGGGGAGGGAGCCUGCAAGAAAGGGGUCCCAGGAUGUCCCCUGAGGCUCUGAGCACCCCAGACCCACUCACAGACCGAAGUGCGGGGUGGUGACUGGGGCAGGGUCUCGAGUUGGCCCCAUCUGAGACUCCCUCUGUGACUGUGUGACGAGACCUUGGCAGGCGCCAGACUGGACGCCCUCCUCAACGGGAGCUCUGGGUCCUCCCACGCCCCCCGGGGUGGGCACUCCUGCCCGUUUUGCAGAUCAGAAAAGUCGCUGGGAGAGGCUGAGGCCACAGGCUCCCAAGCGGUGGAUUUGGGACUCAGACCCCCAGCUGUGGUGCCGGUGGGUGUGGAGAGAAAAGGAAAGCCGGGUUGCUGGUGACUUACUGCUGCCCGGCCUGGUGUGGGGCUGCAGGGCUCCUGUGUGGCCCCCAUGUCCCCUUUCCCCAUUAAUACUUUGCACACUGGCGUGCACACACGCACAGGGCUGGGCUCUUCGAGAGGGUCCCGUCUGGAACAGGACGCUCAGAUCUGUCUCUGCCCCAUCCCUGACGUGGCCGGGCCCUGGCUGGGGCCGUGAGCAGGGCAGGUCCCUGUCCCUGACAUCCUGGGAGGGUCCUGGGACGGCACGAGUACGGCCCGGGCUGCAGGGUGGCUGUGCCGGAGCCCCGUCAUCUGGCUUCUGCGGCUGCCGUGCUGCAUGUGGACUGAAGGACAAAGGCAGGAGCAGGUCAGACAGGACAGGGGCAGUGGAGGGGGUGACAGGUGCUCAGACCUUAGACGUGUCUCUGCAGGGAGAACCAGGGCAGCUUCACAGGCACGUGACACUGCUGUCACACGAGGUCCUUUGUCAGAAGACCUCACAGUUGGCGCGUGCUCUGCUGUCACCAUGUUGGAACCCUUCUCUUCCCGGCUUUGUUGAGACGUGGUUGACACAGAACACGUGUGAGUCUAAGGUGAACAGCGUGACGGUUUGAGCCACACGCACGUUGCAGGAUGGCACCCACAGUAGUUCACCCCUCUGUCACCUCACAUUUUUAUUGGUGAGAACAUCUCAGAUCUACUCUUAGCAACUCAAGAAUUUAAUACGGUGUUAACUCUAGCUACAUGCUGCACACUUGUCCCCAGAAUUCGUUUAUCUUAUAGCUGGACGUUUGUACGUUUUGUCCGAUGUCUCUUUCCCACCCCCAGCCCACGGCAACCCCCAUUCUCCUCUGUUUCUGCGAGUUUGACUGCCUUGGACUCCACGUGUAAGUGGGUUAUACAGGGUUCAUCUCUGUGGGCCUUAUGUUACUGAGGAUGAUGCCCUCAGGUGAGCUCACGUUGUGCAACUGCCAGGAUUCCCGCCCCUCUCACGGCCGAGCAGGGUUCUGUUUCAUACCCCACGUCUGCUCUAUCGGUCCAUCCGUGGACGGGCGCUCGGGUGGUCUCCGCAUCCUGGCUGGUGUGGCCAGUGCUCCGUCACCGCACGGCUCCCUCGUGUUGCCCUUUUUUCUCACACUCACUCCUUCCUGCCCCCUCAGCCUGGCAGCAUUUCGUCUGCUCCCCGUCUCUAUAAUUUUGUCGUUUCAGGAAUGUUAUAUGAACGGAAUCACGUGGUGUGUAGCCCUUUGUGAUUGUCCAUCUUCACUCUGGAUAAUGGCCUUGGACCCAUCCAAGCCCCUCGUGUGUCCGUGGAGGAUCCCUUCCUGCUGCUGAGUAGCGUUCUGUGGUGUGGACAGUCCACAGUUAGUUGAAGGGCCUCUCGGUGUUUUCCCGUGUUUGUCGUGACACACAGAGCUGCUGUGAGCGUUUGUGUAGAGGCUUCUGUGUGAACGUCGGUUGUCAUUUCUCGGGACUGGAUACUCGGGAGUGUGGUUGCUGGUUUCUGGGAUGGUUGUGUGUUUAGUUUUAUAGGAAACUGGCAAACCUGUUCCAGAGUGGCCGCGGCAUUUUGCGCUCCCGCCUUCUCCCUGGCGUCCGGCGUGAGCUGCUGCUGCGUUCAUGCCCAGCUUGGGUGUGUGGUGUGGAAUCGCAUCGUGGGUUCGCUCUGUGUCUCCAGUGCUGGUGACGUGGACGUGGUCACGGGCUCCUGCUGUGUGUGCGUCUCAUCCAGGCGGAGUCCCUGCAGCCCCGGCCGUCUUCUGGUUGGAUGGGAUCCUGACGCGUUGCAAACGUUCUCUGUAUGUUCCGGACGCCGCUCCUCCCUGGACGUGUGGUCUGCAAAUGCUCCUCCCGGCCAGGAGCUAUCUGUCCACCCCCCUCCCAGCAUCUUUGUUGCAGAGAAAACGCUUAGGUUUUACUGAGGUCCAACCUCGGCUCUUUCCUCUGUGGCUGGUGCUUUCGGCGUCAACUCCGAGAAGUCUCUGCCUGGUCACAGUCUCGAUUUUGCCCGGUGCUUUUUCCCAGAAGUUUUAUGGGUCCCCACUGUCGUUUCAGCCCAUGACGGUUGAGAGCUCGUGUGGUGUGAGGCGGGAGUGGGGCCAGGCUGAGUUUCCCGCCCACGACGUCUGAGCUUGGAGGCCCCUCGGGUGGUGGCUUCCACCGACAGGCCGCUGGGAAGGCGGGGGCAGGUUCCUCGCGUGGACCCGCCCCUCAGGCUCUGGGAACGCAGGUGGCAGCCGUCACGCAGGAUCCCGGCAGGAGACGGGGCAGUUCGAGGGGAAGCAGACGACAGGUCGCUGCGGGAUAAGCCGCACUGGCAUGGGCGGAAUGCACGAGGCCGCCGUCCCAGAGCCCGGGGCUGAGGCUGUCAGGGGCGCCUCACGAGGCUGCAGCUGUGAGUCAGAAGUGGGGUAACUGAGCAGCCACAGGCAGCGGGGACCUGGGGACACACGCCCGGCCUCCCGCCCGCCUCCUGCUGGGCCUCAGUGACUGUCUGCCUGUGCUCUGGGCUGCACUCGGACCCCAGAAUUCAUGUGUUGCAGCCGUCGCCCCCACACCUCAGCUCACUGUGCUUGGACACAGGUCCUCACAGAGGAGACAGAGCGAUAGAAGCAUCUUCUGACGCGUGCAGGGAAGUGUUCCCACACCUCGGGCAAUUCCCCGACCCCUGACAGCUCCCUGACAGCUCAGCUUGGUUCUGACGCUCUCCUGGAGCCAGCAUCGGAUUCCACAGGUUGAGGGCCCCGUCGCACGAGACGGCCUCGACUCAGACACCAAUCGCAAGCCCAGGCUGUCACUUGUGCUUCUGACCAAGAGGGACAAAUCCGAGGUUGGCGUGACCCCCUCUUUGGCUUUGAUGAAUUUGCUAGACUGGCUCACAGGACUCGGGAAGCCAGUUUACUCACUAGGUGACUGUUUAUUACGUAAGAUAUUAAGAUACAAAUCAACAGCCAGACGAAGAUACACACGACGAGGUCCUGACAAAGGAGCUUCUGUCCUCGUGGAGUUUGGGGCCUGGCAGGUGGAAGCGUUUAGUUCACCAACCCGGAAGCUCCCUCUUUUAGGUUUUGGGUUUUUAUGACUCUUCAUUACGUAGGCAUGAUCGAUUAACUCAUUGAUGUUGGUCAUUGAUUCAACCUCCAGCCCCUCUCCCAUCCCCGGAAACCAAGGGACGGGACGCAGAGUUCCAAUCACGGUUGGCUCCCCUGGCCACCAGCCCCCAUCCUUAGCGGCUUCAUAAAACUCACCUCAUUAGCAUAAACCCGGUUGUGGGGGAAAGGGCCUUGUUAGGAACGAGACACCAUGUCACCUUUGUCCUCUGAAGCAAUUUCAGGAGUGGGAGACCCAGUAUUACAACAAAAGAUGCUUCCAUUGCUCUCAUCUCUCAGGAAAUGCCGUGAGCCACGAACCCCAGAGGAAGAGCAAAUAUAUAGAAGAAAUGUUUUUGGUCAUCUGAGUGACCAAAUACUUAUUUCUCAUAAAUCGCAGUAUCGUCCUGGGGAGCCAGUACGUGGAUCAGGGCCCGGUGUUGUCAGCGCUCACCAGCCCCGCAGCCCCUUCCGUCACUGCCCCCGAGCAGCCUCUGUCCUGACUUCUGUCGUGACUGAAAAGGCAGUUUAAUUACCUUCUCGUUUUUUUGGUGUGUGUAUUCUGUAGCUUUUUCCUUUGGGGUUACUCUGAACAUCCUGUUAUCACACGCAGGUGUCAGCUUCACCAGCUUCCCCUCAGUGUCACACGGACCCUCGGCUCCUGCGCUCGGCUCUGACUCCACCUGUUCCAGUUAUUAAUGUCACCAAAUUACACCUUCAGGCGUUGUGUGUCCAGAAACAGAUACUAAUCGUUGGGUGUUUUAAUACUUUGGUCUCUGAAUGUAGAAAACGAAAGUGGAGCCACAAACCACAGUUAGAACAGCGGCAGCUUUUAUGGUCGUCCACACACGUGCUCUGACCAGGGUCUGCGUGUCUUCACGAGGCGUCGAGUUACUGUCCGGGGUCCCUUCUUUUCAGCCUGAAGGGCCCCCUUCCCGGGACGGCGGGUCUGGUGUGGGGAACUCGGCCGUGGUUUCUGUGGGGACGUCUUCGUUUCUCCUCGCGUUUGAAGGGUGGUUCUGCCACAUACAGGAUUCUUGGUGGAUUCUCUUCUCCUCCAGCACUCUGAAUGCAUCAGCCCCGGCCUCUGGCCUCCAGGUUUCUGGUGAGAAAUCUGCUGACAAAGUAAAUAUCACUCUCAAUGUCCCAUAUGAACAGAAAGCUCUUGGGGUCCUAUUCUCAAGAGGAAAGGGGUCGUGAGACCAAAACGUGAGAAACCUCAGCAGUCGACUCCCAGUCAUGACUGUCCGUUUCUUGCUCUGACCCCACAGGAGCCGCCGUGAUGGAAUUUACAAACCCUGUAAACGUCUCUUCUGGGCUUAGGUUUUUGGUCUUUACAGCGCAGGAAGCUGAUUUUUGGUGACCUGUAGGGGGACCACAACCAGCUUGUUUUCUCCUCUUCCCCCCCCCCCCCAUUUUUAAAAUUUUUUCGUUUUUAUCUGCCUUUUUCUUUUUUUCAUUUUUCUUUUAUUUUCUUUUCUAUUUUUCUUUAUUCUCCUCUCACUUUUUAUUCUUUUUGUCUUUUUCUCACUUUUCUUCUUUUAUUUUUCUCACUUUCUUAUUCUUCUCAGUUUUUCUUUGUUCUCCUUUUUUUAAGUUUUUCUUUUCUUAUUUUCUUUAAAUUUUUUGUUAAGUAUUGUUAGUACAGCUAGUAUGGUUGGCAUAUUUUGUAUAGUGAGUGUUAUUUAUUACCAUAGUUAGUAAGCACAGGUGGCCUUGUUAGUGUCACUAUUUAGUCCUGGCUAGCAGACUGUCGUUUUGUUUGUUGGCAUAGUUAGUAAGCCUAGUCAGCAUCGUCAGUUAGCAGUGUCAGUGUAGUCAGCAGGUCACCAAGCUUCCGGGCCUCGCAGCCGCCUCUGCAGACAGGAAGCCCAGUGUUCGCGGCUCUGAGCUCCUCGGGGCUGUGGGCAGAGCAGCUGCUCCGUGGUGAGGCGGGGCCGGCACAUCCCGACCGGAACAGCGGUGGCCAUGAAGGUCAUCCCAGCGCAGGAGCAGAGCUUCUCCGGAACAAAGGAACUUCUCUGCAAGGUCCGCGGCCUGAAGGCCUUGUGUCACCCGAGCAUCAUCGCGUUGCUGGAGGUGACGGACACGGAGCACAAGUUGUAUCUCGUCGUCGAGCACGUCCGCGGGGGAGACCUGUACCAUCACCUGGUCGAGCACGGCCCCGUGAUGGAGGAGGAGGCCCAACCGGCUCCCCUCGGCCCUCCAGUGCUGCCACAGCAAAGGCAUCGUGCACGGGGACGUGAGGCUGGGACGGUGCUGCCCCACGCUGCGCUCAGCGUGAAGGGGGCAGACGUUCACUCAGCGCUGUGUUCCUGGGCCGCAGGCUGAGCACGGGCCAUGGCAGCCCCUGGGGCCCACCCAGAGGACCUCCUGGGCCGGGACUACGACGGGCCCUCAGCAGACGUCUGAUCCUUGGUGUGCUGCUCCACGGCCCACUCGCCGGGUCCCUGCCCUUCCCGUGAGACGACUACGGGGCGGGGUGGUGGGUGCUGAGCGGGCGGUGCCCUCCCCCAUGUUACUGUGGUGCGAGUACAGGAAGCUGCUGUGAAAAUUGAUGAGCCUCGACCCCAGCACGAGGAGCUUGAGAGACAUCCGGAAGAGCCAGUGGGUCAAUAUGGGCUGGGGAGACCCAGGCCUUGCGGGGAGCUGCCCUGCAACAGAGGGGCCCCUGGGUGACACAUGUCGUGAAGAACAUGGGCUUUGGGAGGGGCGACGUCCAAGAUUCCUUACAAAGAAGGAGGUACGAUGACAUCAUGGCGACCCCCCUCACCCUGAGCGCCCAGACGCCGCAGAUGGAGGGCCGCACCGUCCAUGUAGACCUUACAUCCCUCCCAUCAGCCCCACGGCCGCACUUUCUUCCCGAACUUCGCAGCACAGCUGGUCUCUGUGCUCCCGGUGAAACGCAGCCGCAGCGAGACUGUUGUCCCCGCCUGGUCCGUGAGGCAGAGACCCAGCGGCCUGGGGAGAACCGGGAGUCGGGGACAAAGGCCAGAGGGCCUACCCGUCCCCUACCCAGCCCAGAGUCGAGGACUGACCCCACCCCAGCCCAACCCCCCAGCCUGGCCCCGGGGCCUCUGCCUCCACCCGCAGCGCCAGCAGCAGCAGUGGGGCCGGGGAACCAGCUGCCCCAGGGUGUGUCCUGUGGGGACGCCCCCCGCACGCUGGGCAGCCUGAUGGGGCCACCAGCCUCUCGCUCCGGCCCCAGCCAGGCCGGCAGGUGGGGGGCCAGCAGGGGCCACUGGGAGAUUCUUGAACUUGAUGAGACGCUUGUGUUCCCGUCUCCUCAGCAAGAAAAGGAUCGCCAGUGUAAAUUAAACUGCUCAACGUGAAGAUGCUGUGAAAGGGCACAUAGUUCACUUCUUCAUUUGUUUACACUAAGUGUCUGCAAAGUGCUUGAGGGCUGGUUUGAAAUAGGGUGUCUCAAUGGAAAAUUGGAGGUUCAGUGAGGCCAGUAGAUCAGGGGGCGACACUCUGGUUUGUUACAGCUCCCGAGGAGGGGGCACACCACACAGGCCCACGCGGGCCACACGGGAAGCACAGGGCGGUCAGAGGCCAAGGGCGUGGGGGCUGCGGGCAGGAGCAGCAAGGCGGUGAGCAGGCUCAGGACUGGCUGGUCUGGAUGACUUCACAGGCUCUGGAGCCUGGGCCUCUCCCCGGUGUCUGGUGCCCGCCCGGGUGACGGGCAGGGGGACAGUGGCCCGGAUGUGCAUGUUCAAUAAAGAAGGUGGCUGGGGUGUG
This 8037-nucleotide long non-coding RNA is filed under the name Equus caballus (horse). RNAcentral describes it as "lncRNA (ENSECAG00000029834.2)". The record is from RNAcentral. Lineage: Eukaryota; Metazoa; Chordata; Mammalia; Perissodactyla; Equidae.